GGGGUAACAAACUAAAACUGAGGGAAACGCAUUAAAUAUAAGAGGAGAACAACGACACAACACUACAAUGUAACACACACAAAAACGGACCGAGAGCAACAGACAAAAUCCCAUGAGAAUAACAAAUAUAACAUCAAAACCAAAUACAUGAAUUUGGGAUAGACAAGUACCGUGACACAUCUUAUAAAAUCGGGGUAACAAACUAAAACUGAGGAAAACGCAUUAGAUAUAAGAGGAGAACAACGACACAACACUACAAUGUAACACACACAGAAACGGACCAAGCAACAGACAAAAUCCCAUGAGAAUAACAAAUAUAACAUCAAAACCAAAUACAUGAAUUUGGGAUAGACAAGAACCGUGACACGUCUUAUAAAAUCGGGGGUAACAAACUAAAACUGAGGGAAACGCAUUAAAUAUAAGAGGAGAACAACGACACAACACUACAAUGUAACACACACAAAACGGACCAAGCAACAAACAAAAUCCCACGAGAAUAACAAAUAUAACAUCAAAACCAAAUACAUGAAUUUGGGAUAGACAAGUAUUGUGACACGUCUUAU
This 563-nucleotide long non-coding RNA is filed under the name Mytilus galloprovincialis (Mediterranean mussel). Lineage: Eukaryota; Metazoa; Mollusca; Bivalvia; Mytilida; Mytilidae. The record is from RNAcentral.